Molecule: RNA transcript, 4441 nt
Organism: Nematostella vectensis (starlet sea anemone)
Lineage: Eukaryota; Metazoa; Cnidaria; Anthozoa; Actiniaria; Edwardsiidae
Exons: 3
Source: RefSeq, a predicted model, not a curated record
UAACAGCUUGGUGCAAGGAAAAACAAAUACGUACUCCUGUAGAAGACAUGAGCCUUGGACAACUUGAUGCAAACCUCCGUCGUUUUUACGCUGAAGCAAGAAAAAUGAACGGAGAAAUAUACAGCAAGAAGACCCUACUCGGCUUCCGGCAUGCCAUUGAACGCCAUCUCAAUCAGCCACCCUUGUCGAGAAGCCUUAAGCUGUCUACCGACCCUAGAUUCAAGCGGUCAAACGAGAUGCUUGAUGCUCAGCUUGUACAGAUGAAGAGAAAUGGCCUUGAGAACACCAAGCACAAACCCGCCAUCGAGGAUAAAGACCUAAAAAAGCUCAAAACUUCCAAAGCACUUUCUCCGGAUACUCCAUCCAGUCUCCUAAGAAAUGUGUGGUUCCACGUGGUCCUGCACUUUUGUAGAAGAGGUAGAGAGGGUCAGCGAGCGUUGAAAAAAAACAAGCUUCCUGUUUGAACAAGAUGCAAGCGGCCGGCGCUACGUAACUAUGUCGCACGACGAAGCGACAAAGAACCAUCCUGGAGGAUUGAACGACAAUCUUUUCAAUUGUAUAUUUCGAAACAGAAUCCUAAAUGUGAAACAUUUUUCCAGUAUCCAAAGAAAUGUUGGUAUCCCGACCACGACGUGUGGUUCUAUCAGUCAUCUACCGCAGAGAUUCCACGAGAUACUACGCAUGCGCAUAGCUGAUCAUUCUACGUUCGCAUUCGCGUUCCGCCAUUUUGUAGCGUGACUGGUCAAACGAGGAAACAAUUCAACAAAAUCAGCUUCAUCCGACGCGUUCAACGGAAAUAUUUUCUGUUCCAUCGGAACCCAUCCUAGGAUUCUCGGGGUAGGAUUUGCGAGGCAAACCAUAUUACCCUUGUGAAGAUAAUCGCCGUUUAAAAUGGCGGCUCAGAAACCUGAUAUCCUUGACGCCAUGCUUUCUGAAGCACGGUCCGAAACUGACUCGGCGCAGCCGAAUAAGUCAGAAAAAGGACAAGGAAAUGUUCAAAAGAAGGGAAAGACCCCUCUUACAAAGGAAAAGCGUUCGGGGACGACGGCAAAGAGUCCAACGGUUACAACUAAACUGGUGACUGGCGCUGCCAGUUCUGCAGGUUUAGAUCAAGCCACCAAGUCGGGAGAAACCGAUCCUACACGACUAGAGGACUUGUGCCACAAAGUCUCCCAAUUAACAGACAUCAUGAGCAGUUUUGCUUCUGUUGUAAAAGAACUGAAAACAGCUUAUGAUGCUGCGAUGCAGCAGAAUGACCUAAGCUGCUCUGAUAGCGAAAACGAAGGGGGAGAGUCCUUCUCAACCACAGCUAAAAGCAAAGACACGAAGGCCAAUGAUUACUCGAUGACCUCAUGCAGAAGGUGAACGAAAAUGAACAGACAGACACAGCAUUAACUGAGAAAAUGUCGUUUGUGUUAGACAGUGUUUUAGCAACUGGUCUCAACGAGCAAUCUCUCGCUAAAAGGAAAGAGUCAAUUAGAAGACCAGAAAACUGCAAACUUCUAAAAGUGAACAGUGAAAUAUGGGAAAUUGCCCAAAAAACAACCAAGAGCAUGGAUGCUCGUUUACAGAAACUACAAGAGGCACUAAUCAAAGGCCUCAUUCCAAUGGCAAGAGCUGCAGGACUUGUGGGCGAAGCCCUGAGUAAAAAAGCAGAUAUGCCUUUGACACUAGAAGAACUUUGGAAAGGAUUAUCCUACUCUGUUCUUUUCGUUGCCCCAGCCAACCAUGACUUAAACAUGUGUAGGUGUGACCUAUUCAAGGUUGAUCUAGACGACAAAUACAAAGAAAUAUGCAGUAAUAAAGAGCCUGUGGCAUCAGAACUGUUUGGCGAUGACUUAGGUGAAUGCCUCAAAACAGUAAAAGAAAGCAAGAAAGCUGCUCAGCAACUAACAGGCAAACGGAAACGUGAUGAAGAAUAUCCAAGGAGACCCAGGCCAUCAUAUGGUGGGAAUUUUUUAUUCCCGAACUGGGGUCGCCCUUACAGGGGACGGCCCCAUCAAAGAUACAACCCACAGAACAAGUAUCCCAGCACCCACAACACGAACAGUGCUGCAAAAAGCAGAAGUAAUGCCUACACCGUCUAAUUCCACAAGUGCUACAGAAGUUGGAGUCCGACCAAGCACAAACGAUCUUAAUAGUCCCCAACUGGUCAACACAGCCAUGGUACCCAUAGUUAUCUCGCCUUCUAGUUCAGAAACCUAUUCUCCUCCCAGAGAAGAAGAGCAAUGUCUACCUUCCAUUCGAUCAGGGGAAAUGUCAUCCACUGGGGAAAAGAUUAAUAAUAAUAAUGAGUUUAAUUCAACCUUUCGCAGUAUAGACUGGAUUACAGGAGAUCCCUACAAAGUAAAGGAAUUUCAUCAGCAACUCAGGAGACAAUACUCAAGUCUUGGCGCCAAGGUACACAAAAACAAUACAGAGGGUACCUGGCUAAGUGGGAGCUAUUUGCACAUAAACGGUCUACAGAUCCCUUACACCCACCUCUAAAUGUGGUAAUGGAUUACCUGGGACACGUCAACAGUUCUCACAUAUCUUAGGGAACUUUACCCAUUGGAGGAACUUACCCUACAACACAGUGUACGUGCAGCAUCUACCAGCAAGGCCAAGAGUUGUGACAUUCCCAUGACUCCUAUCAUGAAAGCAGCCUGUUGAAGCUCAGACUGUACCUUUACCAGGUUUUAUCAUAAGCCUAUAACCGAAGCUGAGAGCUUUGGACAUGCUAUCCUUUCAAAUGUUAAGUUAUCAGCAACUGUUCUACAACAGUUCUGUACUUAUAGUAUGGCAUCGGUAAUGCAAAUCAACUGUUAUAUUAAUUUUGGUUUCCACCUAUGUUUAAGGUGACAUGUUACCACUUAUGUUAGUUGUUAUAGAGGUUACUUGUGUAUAUUAUUGAUGAGUGCUCAUUCGAAUAUAAAAUCUCGUGGAAUCUCUGCGGUAGAUGACUGAUAGAAUUAGAAAAUUAAACGAGACUUACCUGGAAGUUGAAGUUUGAUUGGGAUUCUAUCAGUCAUCUACAGAGCAGAGAUUACACGCCCUCCCUAUAGGUACUUGUUGCCUCCCUGCAGUUCUACUGCACUUAUUGGAUCUUCUCAUGGACACUCAUGAUCUUUUAAAUAUGACCAGCUAUGCGCAUGCGUAGUAUCUCGUUUUAGGAUUUGCCUCCAUUGCAUUUAUUUUUUAGUAGCCUGUAUGAGUGGAUCCAAGGUUUCUAAAAAUAAGGCCAAAGGGUGGGUGCACCAAUAUGUAAUGCAUGUCAGGAGGUAUAUUUCUGGAGUUUAAUUUCAACACAUUCUUCUGAAUAUUUAGUUGCAGUACAUGGAAACUACAGUAUGGCAUCCAAAUUUUUGGAAUGCUGUUACACCUGGUUAAUUCUUCACAAGGUCAAAGCUUGUUAGAAUGCAUCUUUGAAAAAAAUAUAGAUAGUGGAGCUUCUAUGAAGGGAAAUAAGAAUUGACCAUUAGACUCUUGAUAAACACUCUCGUCAACUAAGACACCUGAACUUUGACAGCCUUUUUCACACCAAGGCUUAGUAUUUGCUAACUUUUAUACUGUAUAUUUAAUAUUAUUAAGUGAGUGCUUGAUUAAUACAUUUGGAGGGGCGAGUACAGUUCAUAAUCACAUGGCAGUAAAAAAAUAACAUAUUUUUAAUCUCAUUAAAAAAAAACAUUCUAAAGACACCUAGAUCCCCCUAAAACAGUCAGUCAACACAAAAAGGUAUCAAAUGCUGGAUUCGCCUUAAUGCAGUGCCUAAAUCUAUAUAUUAGGUUGUUAUUCACAUUUCGAAACAUUCAACUGCUCAUAUGCAGGGAAUAAAUGAGGCUUUGCGGUCGUGCAUGUAGCCAUAGCCUACUCCAGGUACUACCAGAAAAUGCAAUAAAUUGAGUGUGCUUAAGUUAGUUCAUAUUUUGAGACCCAUUUCCUGGAAAAAAAAUAAAAAUUCCUCGUUUUUAACAUGUUCCGACAAAGGGAUUUCUGGUUUCUCAUUUUUUUUCCUGUUAAUAACAUCACUUAAACGGUUUAUGUGCAGUUCAGAAUUUUUAUUGCACGUGGUUCCAACUGGGUCUACGUUAGGACUUGACACACAGGGAGCUCACCUCUACGGUUUGAAUAAAGUUAGAGUUGUUUUUUAGCUUUGCGUUGUUGAUUAUUUUUUUAGUGCGUGUGGGCGUUUGAAUCUCUUGUCUACUUUUUCGGCGCCCGGUGCUUUCUGGCACUCUUUCAUUGGUUAGCGGUCUAUUGGCCGUCUCGACUGCUAAAUGGCUUCCGUGUCACGGCAUACCUAGUAAAAAAACUACAGUCACGUGAUUUGUGAUGUCAUCGAGGAUGUCACUAAAAGCAAAACUACUCCGAUUUCAUUAGAACAAAAAUAUCCAUUCUCAUGAACAAAACAUCAUAUAACAACUAAUCUUAGUAUGUGUCAUGAAGUUGACGUCGUCAAAAA